This 484-nucleotide ribosomal RNA is filed under the name uncultured bacterium. RNAcentral's name for it is "partial 16S ribosomal RNA". It matches the Rfam family "Bacterial small subunit ribosomal RNA", at positions 28 to 523 of the family's 1533-position model. The record is from RNAcentral.
GACGAACGCUGGCGGCGUGCUUAACACAUGCAAGUCGAACGAUGAAGCCGGAGCUUGCUCUGGUGAAUUAGUGGCGAACGGGUGAGUAACACGUGAGUAACCUGCCCUUGACUCUGGGAUAACUGCGGGAAACUGUAGCUAAUACCGGAUACGACCCUCGGAGGCAUCUCCUGGGGGUGGAAAGAACUUCGGUCAAGGAUGGACUCGCGGCCUAUCAGCUAGUUGGUGAGGUAAAGGCUCACCAAGGCGACGACGGGUAGCCGGCCUGGGAGGUGGACCGGCCACACUGGGACUGAGACACGGCCCAGACUCCUACGGGAGGCAGCAGUGGGGAAUAUUGCACAAUGGGCGCAAGCCUGAUGCAGCAACGCCGCGUGAGGGAUGACGGCCUUCGGGUUGUAAACCUCUUUUAGCAGGGAAGAAGCGAAAGUGACGGUACCUGCAGAAAAAGCACCGGCUAACUACGUGCCAGCAGCCGCCGCAG